Molecule: ribosomal RNA, 468 nt
Filed under: uncultured bacterium
Lineage: Bacteria
Description: partial 16S ribosomal RNA
Rfam family: Bacterial small subunit ribosomal RNA
Source: RNAcentral
GAUGAACGCUGGCGGCGUGCUUAACACAUGCAAGUCGAACGGAAAGGCCCAAGCUUGCUUGGGUACUCGAGUGGCGAACGGGUGAGUAACACGUGGGUGAUCUGCCCUGCACUUCGGGAUAAGCCUGGGAAACUGGGUCUAAUACCGGAUAGGACGAUGGUUUGGAUGCCAUUGUGGAAAGUUUUUUCGGUGUGGGAUGAGCUCGCGGCCUAUCAGCUUGUUGGUGGGGUAAUGGCCUACCAAGGCGUCGACGGGUAGCCGGCCUGAGAGGGUGUACGGCCACAUUGGGACUGAGAUACGGCCCAGACUCCUACGGGAGGCAGCAGUGGGGAAUAUUGCACAAUGGGCGCAAGCCUGAUGCAGCGACGCCGCGUGGGGGAUGACGGCAUUCGGGUUGUAAACUCCUUUCGCUAGGGACGAAGCGUUUUUGUGACGGUACCUGGAGAGGAAGCACCGGCUAACUACGUG